UGCACGUGCACCUGAGAAUUGGUGUGCGUGUCUCUCAGAGGAGUCUUUUCAAAAUAAAAGCAUAACUAAGGGGAAGUUCAUAGACAUUUUCCAACCUGUGAACUUACGAAGUUUGGUUAGCCAAACACUCACAUUGUGAAGACUGUGAAUGGAAUAGAAGCAAACCCAGUUUCAAGGAUUAUUGUAAAAAAAUCAGCAUCAGGAAAAGAAACUGACGAGGAACUGAGAGGGCCCUCCAACUACUCAUCUUCUUCCAUGGUCUUAAUUUCCAUCUGUAAGAACUGCAACCAAGGGCAUCUUGUAGAGUUUGGUAUUCCCAUCUCAAAUCGAUGACAAGAGUUGCCAACUGAAGCUGUCACGGAAGUUGGACCUAAUGUGUACCCUUGCACUUUUAGCUUACACUUGAUCUCAUUCAUCACUUACAGGAGGGACAACAAGAAGGUCAGUGGAUGCUUGAAAAAGCAGUGCAGUGGUAAGGUCAACUUGAAUGCCUUUCUUGCA
Bos indicus x Bos taurus (hybrid cattle) is the source of this 501-nucleotide long non-coding RNA. Lineage: Eukaryota; Metazoa; Chordata; Mammalia; Artiodactyla; Bovidae. The record is from Ensembl.